This 232-nucleotide ribosomal RNA is filed under the name uncultured bacterium. RNAcentral's name for it is "partial 16S ribosomal RNA". It matches the Rfam family "Bacterial small subunit ribosomal RNA", at positions 104 to 334 of the family's 1533-position model. The record is from RNAcentral.
CGGGGUGAGUAACGCGUGGGUAACCUACCCUGUACACACGGAUAACAUACCGAAAGGUAUGCUAAUACAGGAUAAUAUAUUUGAGAGGCAUCUCUUGAAUAUCAAAGGUGAGCCAGUACAGGAUGGACCCGCGUCUGAUUAGCUAGUUGGUAAGGUAACGGCUUACCAAGGCGACGAUCAGUAGCCGACCUGAGAGGGUGAUCGGCCACAUUGGAACUGAGACACGGUCCAA